GAAAAUCUCACAAGUUCUGCAAUGGAUGGUAUUGGAAUGUGAAGAGAAAGCUUCACAGAAGAAGUGCCAGCAAGCAUUAGGCUAGAGAGUCUUUAAUAAGCCAAUAUUUUGAAAUGGCUUAAUACCACAGAUAUUGGAUGACCAUAUUACAUCCAUGUAUUGGACUGUCUCGAACAGAGCUUGGACACAGAUCAUAGAGUCAAGGGACCACAGUGAAGAGUGUGUAGUUUUCUGUGCCUGAGGGAAGCUCUGGGCAUCCAUUCCUGCAUCCUGGACAGUCACUGGAUUAAAGCUAGAAAAUGAACCAUA
Molecule: long non-coding RNA, 309 nt
Organism: Phasianus colchicus (ring-necked pheasant)
Lineage: Eukaryota; Metazoa; Chordata; Aves; Galliformes; Phasianidae
Source: RefSeq, a predicted model, not a curated record